ACUUUUUUGUAUCUUUUCACUAUAGAUUUAAUUUUAUAUGAUGAAAGGGGAGCUCUUAGCAGAAUACAGGAGAAACCCUUCCAUGACAAUCUCCCUAUGAGGAUACAGAACAACGAUGUGUACAGGAUCCUAUGUGUGAAUCAUUAGCCCACACACAUGUAAGGUCAAAUCGUGGGCCCUCAGAUUUGGCGUGGAGCUUAAAGGAGAUGAACAGUCUGGCCUUCAGAGACAUUUCUGGAUCCUGAAGAGCUACAGUGGACAACUCUAGGGAUUGUACUGGCACAUAUGACUAGGAAGGACUGAAGUCAGAAGACAGCCAUUGAAGAGUGACCCAACUGGAGAACAAGCAAAAAUCUGGAUGAAAAGUUGGAGCAUUUGAGAGGUAUUGGAACAGUUACCUACCUGGCAACAAUCCCAGAUUUGAUCCAGAGGUUAGCUGAACUGCCCAGCAGUUAUUGCUAUAUUUGCCAUGUUUGAAAAUAAGCGUUUUGGGGGAAUGUUUCAUUAUUUUUCCUUCACUUCCAAUUCCAGAAUCUUGCAUUCUGUGCCAA
Molecule: long non-coding RNA, 551 nt
Organism: Malaclemys terrapin pileata
Lineage: Eukaryota; Metazoa; Chordata; Testudines; Emydidae
Exons: 4
Source: RefSeq, a predicted model, not a curated record